RNAcentral lists this long non-coding RNA (390 nucleotides) under Populus tremula. Its description in RNAcentral is "long non-coding RNA (PTRE_LNC001766)". The record is from RNAcentral. Lineage: Eukaryota; Viridiplantae; Streptophyta; Magnoliopsida; Malpighiales; Salicaceae.
ACAAUCAAAAAAAGAAAAUACAGAGAGAGGAACGAAGACACAGGGGAAGGGGAAACAGAAAAAAAAAUACAGAGGCACACAGAAAUACAUAAAGAAAUAACACGCAGAGCAGGGGAGAAAAAGGGAAGCACACACACAGACAAGGAUUGAUUAUCCCUGCCAUCGUUUUAUCCCUGCAAAAAAAAAAAAAAACAAAAAAUAAAGACAACAAUCGGCAUCCACAGUAAACCGGCAUCUCCAUUGUUGUCUCCUUCGUCAUCUCAAAGUCUGUUUAAAAAGAGCAGAACCGGGAGGCUGAAAGCAAGAACAGAAGCAAACCAGGAAAUAAAGAAAGCAAAGGAAAAAAUAGAGCAAGAGGAGGCAGCGUCGCUCGUCCAGCACAACGCCAUC